Molecule: long non-coding RNA, 482 nt
Filed under: Rattus norvegicus (Norway rat)
Lineage: Eukaryota; Metazoa; Chordata; Mammalia; Rodentia; Muridae
Description: long non-coding RNA NONRATT023337
Source: RNAcentral
AGAGGAUAGCAGAGAGAACCAUUGCUAAUUGUCAUUGCUCAUCCUGGCCUCUUGCUUCUCAAAACUGGAAAAUAUGUUCUAUUUGUUACCGUAAAUGACUUUAGUUGGGUUACUUUCUUCAUCUAUUUGUAUAUAUUCAAAAUGGCACCCCUACACUUCAGUUCCUACCCAAAACUAUAUGCUUCAUUCUGACUUCCUGUGUAAUAACACAUUCGAGGGCUUAAAGAAAUGUCCCUUGUUUGUCUAUAGUAAAAUGUUGUUAACAGUCAGGACAAAUGGCUUACUCAGCUUUGUUCUCAGCUUGUUUAGACUAAACUAAUGCGCAAUGAAGAGUGGAGUCAAAAGUACAGUGCCUUGCUGUGACCAUUUCUGUCCUUUUAGCUCUCUACAACAAAGUAAAAAAAAAAAAAGUUCAACCAAAAAGAAAGAAAGAAAGAAUAAAUCUGAAUUAGUGCUCCACUUUUCUAAAAAAAAUAAUCAAA